This is a non-coding RNA of Coffea arabica (coffee), 1624 nucleotides long. The record is from RefSeq and is a predicted model, not a curated record. NCBI's taxonomy places the organism in Eukaryota, Viridiplantae, Streptophyta, Magnoliopsida, Gentianales, Rubiaceae.
ACAUGCUUCUGCAUUUCAGAUUUCAUGUUCAUAUGUCGGUAGUCUUUUAGAUGGGAUCGAUGCAUGCAUUCUUCGAGGUAAGAAACUUUAAAAAUUAUGUCACUCCAAUUCUGAGUUUUUUUAUUUUAUUUUUCUCUUGCGGGUCUUUUUACCUGCUAAUUUGAAAUGCAUGAUUACAUUUACAUCGUACAAUUUACAUGUCACGUUUCGGAUUUACGAGUAUAUAUGAAAGAAAGGCUUUUUUUUUUUUUUUUUUUGCGAGUUCAAGAAUUUGAUUGGUUUUUCCUUUAGAGCCAGUAAUCAUCAUAAUUUUACCUGGCUGUGUAAGGACUAGAAGGGAUCCACCGCUCUUCGAUCUGUGUCUUCCCGCUCCAACUCCAUCGCUCCCGCUAGAACUUGCAGCAACGCCCUGAACUGCGGCGACGUAUUGCUCAUCAAGAAGACAAGCAUGAAAGAAAGGCAAAAUGAGCUUUGGAAAUCAAAUGAUAACAGCUGUACAGCAUCAGACCUUCAUCUGCUAUUGUAUUACGGUCUCAACAAGUGACGUGGGAGGGACGACAUAUGAUAGCGCCACGGUUGCUGGAAUAAGAAAGGGGCCAGCUGCUGUGUCCCAUGCAAUGAUUGUGCAGGUGACAGCGAAGUAAUUCUUACUUUUACCAUAAACAAAGUGCAACUCGAAUGGUUACUGAAAAACAGUUGCUGACUGACCUAGGUAUUACCUGGUCGACGCGGUGGCAUUCAAGAAGCUGAAACCUCUCACAAUCGCUUCGCUCAGUCUCACCGUAUUCAGGAAAAAAUGGAAGCUUACAAUUUUUUUUUUUCCUUUUCAGAAGUAGCAAUGACGGUUUUACUGUCCAGGUCCAGAGAACCGCAGCCAUAUGCAAGAAAUCCCCUUCUGGCUGACUCCCUGCUUUCCAGAUUCACCCAAGAAGUUAGUCUAAAGAAAAUUGCUAGUCUCUUUCAAGAUUACCCAAUGACUCGAGGCGGCUAGUUAUAUGGAACAAAAUCGAACGUCAUCUGGCUAGUUAUAUACAACAAAAUUGAACACCAUCUUGCAUUAUUUUAGCCAAGUUAGUAAUUGGUGACAAGAAGAACAAAGUGCAGUGAUAUCUCAUUUUUCCUCUUCUCUUUGGAAUAGGCUGGUUUCCUUCAGAUGUACAGCUGUGCAAGAACAGGAGUUUUUUUUUCUCUUGUUGCUUUUUAUGGUCUGCUUGUUUUGAUGAGCAGGCAACCGCAAUGAAACGAAAUGUCGUGAUAUUUUGAGAAGCAGCAGCAGAUGUAUAGACAUAUCUUUCGUACAACCAAUCUUCACGACGGAAAGGAAGAACCAUGAUGACAUUUAGUGCAUAAAAAAAAAAAAACAAAACAAAAAAAGGAGACUUGCGCUGUAGCAUGGAGUGCUUACGAUCAGCGGCGACGAAUGAUGAAUAAUGAUUUUCAUUUAGUAAAAAGGAGAAAUAAAAUUCAUAUAGAAAAGACGUGUAUUCACAUUCGUUUAUAAGGGAGUUAACGCCGAAUCACUAUUGAUAAAGCAGCUUGGCAGUUGUGGGCGCUAUUCGAUCCCUAAUUAUUAGCUGCAAAAUGAUAAGCAAAUUCUAAUGCUGUGCCUACCAAAAAAAAAAAA